Dermacentor silvarum is the source of this 1396-nucleotide long non-coding RNA. RefSeq lists it as uncharacterized. Lineage: Eukaryota; Metazoa; Arthropoda; Arachnida; Ixodida; Ixodidae. The record is from RefSeq and is a predicted model, not a curated record. The transcript is spliced from 3 exons.
AAACCUUUGAAACAGGGCGGAGACAUAUGUCACCUAGCCUGCUUGGUUUAUUCAAGAUUUACAACAUCUGUAAAUGGCGACUCGACUCAUGGAGACUCAUGUUCACAGCAGCAAGCGCGACCUGCCCAAUCGCAUCAACAAAACAUUUCGCGAUUGAUGCCGUUCACGUCUGCUCGCGCCGUCAUCGCCGCGUAACAUAAUCUUCAGCGCAUUGGUUAACCAGCUUUGCCACUGCGUUCGCGCGACUGAGAAAUCAAGCUCUUAGCGAAUGAGCCAGAACAGUGGUGAUUCGCGAUCAUUUGCGAUCGGUUGCUUUGUGACCAAAUUGAUCGAAGUGUGGCCUUUGAGAUCUGUUGCGCUGAGGUGAUCUCGAAGGCUUUGCCUAAGUGUUGUCCUCAACACUAAAUGAUUGUUUUAACGCAGCCAAUAGUCAUUUGCACAAGGAGGUAUUUUAUUUUAUUACACUCUCUGUAUAGCUGACGACAUAUAAUAAAAUACUGAAGUUUUUCGAAAAAAAAUGAUGUUCGAUGUUUUUACCAAACCUAGCGAAAACUAAAAAAGUUAACAAGCAACAUUGGUAUAUCAUUUUUUUUUUGCGUUUGUUUUUGUCGCCAUUUCUCAUUUUUUUUUCUUGGUCGGCGUGUGCGCCACGUGUGUGUCGUGAGCUCUAAGCACGUGAGUGUGUGUUGUCAUCUGCUGCUGCGCGAUAAGGAACAUUUUGUCAAGAGCGUACAAGACGAAAAGCGGGAUGUAUCUAUAUACCGUCCGUGCAUUGGCUGACGCGGAGGUAUGCUACCGACUCGGCUGCGUGGACGCGGGCACGAAGAAAGGAGCGCCGACUGACCAACGAUACUUUGACUGCGCAUGUGUGCCACUCAAGUGCAACAGUUCACGAGGCAUCCCAGGCCCCGAAAGAAGUUGGAAGAAGAUGCAAGCGCAGCAUGCCAAUGUUGUUGAAUAUGCCAGCACGAAGUUUCCAGGCGCAAGUGUUUCUUAUAUAAAAGAAAGCCUAUUCUCUCCCCUCACAAGGGAAAUAAAAUCACUAUAUAAAAAUGCCUUUUCAUGUGCCUUUUUUGUUUUCCUGUUGGCUGCAGUUAAUAUUCAGCCUCAGUGAGCCAAAUCUUGCUACUUUAGACCUUAGUGAGAUAUAUCCCAGUACAAUGAAAAUACAAUGAAAAUUCAUCUCGAUCUAAAUCCAAUGAAUAUACAAUAACGAACCAAUGGAAAAACAACACAAUAAUACUACAACAGAUUUUCAAUGGAUUCACGGUGGCCACUUUUCCAUGACUACUCAACAAAUCUACAAUGAAAUACCAAUAAAAAUUCCACAAUUUUUUUGUUGAUGGUGGCACGAAAUAUCAAUGGAAAACCAAUGGAAUUCCAACAACAUUUUUUG